ACAAAACAAAAACAUUGCAUGAAAUAAUCUCAUAUAUUAUGCCCUUUUAAUCUAUAUAGAAUUGAUCAGCCAAUACUGCCCAAUAAUUGCUUUCAUUUAGGUAAAUAAAUACUACAAUAUACAUCCACUGAGAUUUUACACUACACAGAUCAGAGCUCUGAUAAAACUCAACUGACCAACAGUUUCCCACCAUCUUAAACUCUUUGCAUGACUAAUUUACUCCACUGGUCAUUCCAACAGAUCAGGCUGUUCCAUUGAAUUAUUUUGGGGAGAGAUAACAUUAUAAAUUUCAUAUGCAGAAUUUGUCUAGGACAUUGCAAUUUUUUUUUUGUUCAGAAAUUUGUAAUGAUUUUUAAAUUCUAUAUAUAUAUCUAGUUGUUACUUGAAUUUUUGUUACAUUCAAUGAAUGGAGGUUGAGAUGAUGAGUAAAUUAACCCUGUUUUACAUAAUGAUUGACCUGUCCAUGCAGUUAUACAGUUGUGAAUUUUGAAUUCUAAGAUAUCUGGGUCAGCAAAAAGAGUGCAAAAUAACAGAGGAUGUAUUUGAUAUUUUAACAAUUUUGGAGAUAUACUUUUGUUUAAGAUCUCAAAGUGUUUUAGUAUUGGUAUGAUAAAUAAGUGUGAAAACAUGGGACAAGGAGAUGAACAACAUAAUCAGACUGGGAGUUAAGUGCUGACUGUGAGAUGCAAGGUGUUUCAAUAAAGAUGUGCAGUUUUAAUCCUGAAAAGGUGAGCACAACCACAAGAAGUUCUUGGAAACACAGGCAGUGGACUUAAAACAGACAUCAAUUAAAGAAAUAGUAAUUUAAAUAAUCAGAAACAUUUGAAACAAAUUUAUGAUUGAAACACUCUCAGCAAAAAAAUUGCAAAAAAACAAAGUGUUGGAUUCUAAGAAAACCAGUACCAAAACCUGCAGGUAGAAAAAAACUGUUUGUGUUAUAGUGAAUGUAUGGUAUUAUAUUCUGUAUUUGGACUAAAGGAUUGUUUUAAAUUUUGUGAAAGAAAAUUUAAUGUGAUACAUUAUUGAUAAUUUUAUCCCAAAAAAAUGUGAUCAUGUUAAACUCAUAAAAAUUCCGCCUCCAUGAAUUCUGUCCCAGAAUUCCGCCCAGAAUUUUGUUUGACAAUUCCGUUCCAAAAUUCCAUUCCGAAAUUCCGCCUCGAGAUUCCGCUUCAAAAUUCCGCCCCAAGAUUCCGCUUCAAAAUUCCGCCCCUAGAUUCUGCUUCAAAAUUCCGCCCCAACUCAUUUGCAUAUUUCGUCCCAAUUCCGCCCAGAAUCUGUCCCGUUUCCGCCUGGAAUCUGGCCGGAAUCCGUGCCAAAAGCAAAUGGUUUAACACUUGUAUAUUUGGGGGAGAAUUUAAAUUUCUGGGCGGAAUCUGCCAUUGAAUUCCGCCUCAUUUCCGUGCAGAAAAUUUCGUACAGGUAAGAAUGAACUCGACUUUUUGUCGGCGGAAAAUUAGAUUUUCUUUAUGUCCUUGCACAAUAUAGGAAUCCUUAAUCAAUUGUGUGAAAAUUCAAUUCUCAACUUUUACGAUACGUUAACGGUACUCAUGCACUGCAAAUCCGAAAUCCCAAGCUGUGUGAUGGCAACAGCCCGGUUACUCCGUAAUGCUUACGUGGCGGACUUUAAAGAUGCAUUAUUUUAAUUUUCAGAAAAUAUCGUAUCUUCAUUUUAAAUUCUUUUGAACUAGUAACAAAUUGCGUAAAUUGUCCGUUUGUAACGUCGAUUUCAUGGUAUCAUGGUAUAAUCGUGACGAUUAUUAUAAAUCAACACCUAGACAUAGAUAACAGAGAUAAGCAACUUCCUAGCUUGUUAAGAUAUCACGCGUGCACUUGUAGCAAGUAAAACUUAUGAACCAGAUAUCAAAAAUCAGUAAAAUAAUACAUUUUCUGAAAGCUUAAGCAUUUGUCUAUGGCUGCAGG
Long non-coding RNA from Ruditapes philippinarum (Manila clam), 1920 nucleotides. RefSeq lists it as uncharacterized. The record is from RefSeq and is a predicted model, not a curated record. The transcript is spliced from 3 exons. NCBI's taxonomy places the organism in Eukaryota, Metazoa, Mollusca, Bivalvia, Venerida, Veneridae.